GGGUGUGAUGGUGAUCUGGUGGUGACAUCUGUCUCCCCAUUAAUUGCUAGUGUUGAUUCAGCUGAUCUGGCUGGCUAAGUAGGUGUCCCCUUCCUCCCUCACCAAUCCAUGCUCGGAUAUCCUUCCUGAAGCUGCCUAUUUGGUGGAAGAGGAAGACCCUCCCCAAUAGAGGAGGACAGGUCUUUAGUCAAGGGGAUACGAGCAGCUGUGCUUCCCUGCUAGAACCUCCAAACAAGCUCUCAGACAUUGAAGUUGUUUAUUUGUGUAUGAUGAGUGGUUUAUUCUGUUAAUGAGUCUUUUGAACCUGAAAUGAAAGUUAAAACUUU
This 326-nucleotide small nuclear RNA is filed under the name Capra hircus (goat). RNAcentral describes it as "7SK RNA (ENSCHIG00000002605.1)". It matches the Rfam family "7SK RNA". Rfam says of the family: 7SK was discovered as an abundant small nuclear RNA in the mid-70s but a possible function has only recently been suggested. The record is from Rfam by way of RNAcentral. Lineage: Eukaryota; Metazoa; Chordata; Mammalia; Artiodactyla; Bovidae.